AACGAACGCUGGCGGCAUGCCUAACACAUGCAAGUCGAACGGGAUCCUAGCUUGCUAGGUGAGAGUGGCGGACGGGUGAGUAACACGUGGGAAUCUGCCUUUUGGUUCGGGAUAACCGCGGGAAACUGCGGCUAAUACCGAAUGCCCUCGUGAGAGGAAAGAUUUAUCGCCAGAAGAGGAGCCCGCGUCCGAUUAGGUAGUUGGUGGGGUAAAGGCCUACCAAGCCGACGAUCGGUAGCUGGUCUGAGAGGAUGAUCAGCCACACUGGGACUGAGAUACGGCCCAGACUCCUACGGGAGGCAGCAGUGGGGAAUAUUGGACAAUGGGGGCAACCCUGAUCCAGCAAUGCCGUGUGAGUGAUGAAGGCCUUAGGGUUGUAAAGCUCUUUUACCAGGGACGAUGAUGACGGUACCUGGAGAAUAAGCCCCGGCUAACUUCGUGCCAGCAGCCGCGGUAAU
This 458-nucleotide ribosomal RNA is filed under the name uncultured bacterium. RNAcentral's name for it is "bacterial SSU rRNA". It matches the Rfam family "Bacterial small subunit ribosomal RNA", at positions 29 to 524 of the family's 1533-position model. The record is from RNAcentral.